CCAAAUUGCGUCCUUCUCUCCCGGCUGCUUGCAAAAAGCAAAGCCGCGAUCCGGGAGAUGCACCUGCCGGUGCCUUUACGCCAAAGGGAGAUGCCCCGGACUGGGGGGUGGUGCCAAACGCACAGACCCCCCUGAGGAGUUAGCAGAUGGAAAGAUCUGGAUUGCUCGAGCGUUUUAGGGUAAGGGGGAAAAAAAGACAAGAGGCGGGAAAGCAGGAAUCAAGUGAACAAGCCAAGCGAGAGAACGCGGUUAGCGCCGAAGUAAGAAGAAGAGGCAUGCGCGUUUGGAAACGUUCCCCACCUCGGCUCUGCUUCUGAGGCUGCUGCGUUUAGGUCUGAGCAGGACAUCUUUAAAGUCCAGUUUGAGGUCUGCGUCUACGCGGGGCAUCUCGAGAAAGUGUGAGUUGUGCCAGUUAUCAUAGAAGAAGAGGAUAAGUAUUAUAAAUAGAAAGCAGGGCAUUUUGUUUCUUUGCUGCACGAAAGCGGAUAAUAGGCUCCAGUUUUUUAUUAUCUAUACUUUGCAAGCAUGCAGUAUCUUAGAGACCUCCCUACUUUGGAAGCAAGUCAUGGCCCGAGCUGAUAAGUGGAAUGUCUUUUAGUUUGACUAGGUAGGUACUGUAUUUUAGCUGUGGGUUUUAUAGAGUUGUACAAAGACCAAGAGAAGUUCAUGUGUCAGUCUAAUGCAGAGGUAUCCAACUCUGGCGCUUCAGAUGUUCAUGGACUACAAUUUCCAUCAGCCCCUGUUGGCAUGGCCAAUUGAUGGGAAUUGUAGUCCAUAAACAUCUGAAGCGCUAGAGUUGGACAACCCUGGUCUAAUGUAUAGAUAUCUUCAUUUUGUUUAUUCUGAUGCACCAUUUUCAUCAGUUAUCCCAAAAGCAUAGCCAUAUUAGUUUGUUUACAGAAGUCCAGUAGCAUUCUGAAAUUAAUAAAAUAUAUUCCAGCCUAA
Sphaerodactylus townsendi is the source of this 945-nucleotide long non-coding RNA. RefSeq lists it as uncharacterized. The transcript is spliced from 2 exons. Lineage: Eukaryota; Metazoa; Chordata; Lepidosauria; Squamata; Sphaerodactylidae. The record is from RefSeq and is a predicted model, not a curated record.